GAGGCUAUAGUUCAGUGGUAGAGCAUGUGCAUAGCAUGCACACAUUCCUGGGUUUAAUCCCCAGUACUUCCA
This 72-nucleotide transfer RNA is filed under the name Camelus bactrianus (Bactrian camel). It matches the Rfam family "tRNA". Rfam says of the family: Transfer RNA (tRNA) molecules are approximately 80 nucleotides in length. Their secondary structure includes four short double-helical elements and three loops (D, anti-codon, and T loops). Lineage: Eukaryota; Metazoa; Chordata; Mammalia; Artiodactyla; Camelidae. RNAcentral also lists the same sequence under 2 other names. The record is from Rfam by way of RNAcentral.